Molecule: ribosomal RNA, 252 nt
Filed under: uncultured bacterium
Lineage: Bacteria
Description: partial 16S ribosomal RNA
Rfam family: Bacterial small subunit ribosomal RNA
Source: RNAcentral
UACAGAGGGGGCAAGCGUUUUCGGAAUUACUGGGCGUAAAGGGCGCGUAGGCGGCCUGCUAAGUCGAACGUGAAAUCCCUGGGCUCAACCCAGGAACUGCGUCCGAUACUGGUUGGCUUGAAUCCGGGAGAGGGAUGUGGAAUUCCAGGUGUAGCGGUGAAAUGCGUAGAUAUCGGAAGGAACAUCAGUGGCGAAAGCGACUUCCUGGACCAAUACUGACGCUCAUGUGCGAAAGCGUGGGGAGCAAACAGG